This is a long non-coding RNA of Brienomyrus brachyistius, 887 nucleotides long. RefSeq lists it as uncharacterized. The record is from RefSeq and is a predicted model, not a curated record. Lineage: Eukaryota; Metazoa; Chordata; Actinopteri; Osteoglossiformes; Mormyridae. The transcript is spliced from 3 exons.
CUGUGUGUUUCAGGGCUUCCUCCCCAAACCACUUCAGUACCAUCUUCACUGACUCGUUCUCUUCCCCCAGGAUAACAUUUCCUGUGCUGCUCUUCCCAGAUCCUCUUUUUCCGAAAAGCACAAUUCUCACUUCAGAAGGUGCUUUGGGAGAGAAACACGAUAUCAGUUACCAUGAAUGUUAUACAUUUGUGUCAGUUUGAUUGAAGACUCAUAGCAAUGUGCUACAAUCAAGCCUGUCAGCAGGAGGCACCGUGAAUGUGGUUAUAAUGAACAUGAACAUGCCAUAUUACUGUGGAAAUUCUCCAGCAGGUCUUUAGCAUGUCUUGGGUGCAACUACUUUAUUCUGUCAGCAGAUGGCAGUGCAGAGCCACACAAAGCAUGAGCGCAUGGGAAAGAGACUGACAGUUAGAGGUUUAAGGUGUUCUGUUACUUUGAUAAAACACUCAACAAGGAAGUGAAGCAAACUUGGUGCAUACAAGGUGCCAGAGAAGACAUUUUCAAGAACCAGAACCUUUUUUCAAGAACCUGGAACUUCUAUCAUAUUUUCACCCCAGGAACUUGGCCCGAUUGUAGGUCCUAGGAGGUUUUUCCUUAAUUUUUUUUAGUUCCUACUCCAGAAGAUUUCCUUUUCACUCAACCAAGAGCUACUGGGUGGGGCUUAUAGUGAUAAACUUUGCUAAUUGGUUCACCACAAGCCCCAGUGCCAACUUGCGGGAAAAGAGAUGAGCAGAUGUAUUUUUUUUGUACCUAAGUUACACUAAAGGCAUCAAUGAGUAACUUUUUGCUUGUGUCCCCAAAGUUCUGCACCUGAAAAUUCGAUUGAUAGCCAGUAUCCUGUACGUCUGUCUAAUAUCAGUGGUUCCAGUCCUGAAACUUGCCAGCACUUA